This 460-nucleotide ribosomal RNA is filed under the name uncultured bacterium. Its description in RNAcentral is "partial 16S ribosomal RNA". It matches the Rfam family "Bacterial small subunit ribosomal RNA", at positions 338 to 795 of the family's 1533-position model. The record is from RNAcentral.
CCUACGGGCGGCAGCAGUGAGGAAUAUUGGUCAAUGGACGAGAGUCUGAACCAGCCAAGUAGCGUGAAGGAUGACUGCCCUAUGGAUUGUAAACUUCUUUUAUAUGGGAAUAAAAUGUUCCACGUGUGGCAUUUUGUAUGUACCUUAUGAAUAAGGAUCGGCUAACUCCGUGCCAGCAGCCGCGGUAAUACGGAGGAUCCGAGCGUUAUCCGGAUUUAUUGGGUUUAAAGGGAGCGUAGGUGGAUUGUUAAGUCAGUUGUGAAAGUUUGCGGCUCAACCGUAAAAUUGCAGUUGAAACUGGCAGUCUUGAGUGCAGUAGAGGUGGGCGGAAUUCGUGGUGUAGCGGUGAAAUGCUUAGAGAUCACGAAGAACUCCGAUUGCGAAGGCAGCUCACUGGACUGUAACUGACACUGAGGCUCGAAAGUGUGGGUAUCAAACAGGAUUAGAUACCCCAGUAGUC